CAUAUCAAUCAAUCAAUCUUGUUACUUUUUUCCAUAACUGAUACAACAAAACUGAUAGAUUAAAAGGCAUCAGGUCAGCCUGAGUACACAUACAUUAAGCUUCAGAAUUACUUGCAACUCAUCUUCUAAAGUAUAAUAGCUUUAGUCAAAUUGUUCUAAUUCUGUCAAAUUUAGAUAACUUUCAAUGUGGUGAUGUUAUUUAAUCUAAAUGGGACCAUUUCCUUUCUCAAUAUUUCCAUGAUAUAAUUUAAUGUCAAGUAUGCAGGAGUUUAGCAGCACCUCCUCACCAAACAUGCAAAACAAGAAAGGCUGGCAAUCAGUGAAAUACAUGAAAAUCAGUUAAGAUAACUGUAUACAAAGAACCUACUUUGACUAAAGAUAUAGUGUACUGCUUUUCAGGUGCAAAUCAUUCUGUUAGACUCAAAGCUAAUUUCCUGUAGUAGCUUUGUAGUGUGACAUCUCAAAUCUCAUUAACAUCAAUUGGUUCAAAGAGAUAAUAUACAACAGAAUGUUUAAAUUAAUGUAAUGAAAUACAAAUCUCAGUGCUGGCAGGUGAAAAUAUUAAGGAUCUUACUUGGCAACUUUCUCAUCUAAUUAGCUACUCUGUCACAGUGCAUUUGCUUACAUGCAGGAGGGUUGACUGAGUCAGGCCCUAAUUUUUGCAGGUCAAAUCUUUUCUUUGUAUUAAAGGAAAACAGGUAAUUUUGAAAUUAUAGGUUUAGAAAUCCAUUUCUGGGUUAUUUUUAGCAACACAAUUUACUCCUAACAUUUGGCUUUUAUUCCAUUCUCAGUUAUGAUGAAUAAUAAGUAAGGAGAAUAUCAGCAACCUGUUGCAUUUACUAAAUCCCCUUAAUUUGAUGAUUUUAAGGUCUUCAUGGUCAUGAAUAAAUUGAGCAUUAAGACAACAGUCUGGAAGAGACCUGAUCUGAAAGAUGAAGGUGCUUCAUUCUGUCACACUGGGAGUGAGAUCUCAGGUUUUGUGCCUGGGCUCUUAACGGUGUCUUAGUAUGGGCCUGAAGAGGCUCAAAGGAUUCAAGUAAGGUCAAGAAAAAAACUGAAGAAAAGAGCAGAGUCAUAAAGAAAAGAAGGUAAAAACACAGAAGCAAAAGAAACAUGGAAAAUUUCCCCACUUUUGGUUACAAACCAGUAAAUCCAGGAGAAGUGCUGACUUACAUGGACUUAGGCUAAACAUGCUUCAGUAAAGAGAAGGAUGUGUGAUCUGAGAUGCUCUCACCAAAAUAACUUUUUUUUUUUGUCCUUUUGAUCACUGAUAUUUUCAUCUGAGAGGGAAAGCAUUCAUUCUCCUCUACACACAGCUUAAUUUGUUUUUGUAAUUUUGUGCAGAGAUUCUUUGACCAAAGUGUUCUGUAACAUCCAGGUGAGAAAGAGGAACUAUAUGGUGGCCUGCCUGAAAACAAUUAUGUUUAGCAGGACCACUGCUGGGACCUGGGACA
This 1454-nucleotide long non-coding RNA is filed under the name Cyanistes caeruleus (blue tit). Its description in RNAcentral is "lncRNA (ENSCCEG00000016319.1)". Lineage: Eukaryota; Metazoa; Chordata; Aves; Passeriformes; Paridae. The record is from RNAcentral.